UGGUCGCAAUACUUCCAAAGGAUCGUCGGGCACGUACCUGCCCGGAAGGAGAAAAAAU
This 58-nucleotide non-coding RNA is filed under the name unclassified sequences. RNAcentral's name for it is "msiK RNA". It matches the Rfam family "msiK RNA". The record is from RNAcentral.